UGCGCUAAGAAAAAAUGACUAAAUAGAAGAACAAGUACAUCAUGUUAUCUAUAGAAUAUUGCAAUACAGGUAAUUAAUUAUUUUUCUAUAUCUACUUUUUUGCAAGAAUUUUCAUAAACCACUUUUGAUUUUAUAAUAUUUUUUGUUCUUUUUCUUACCACUUUCAUGCAUCAUGAGUUAUUAUUAACUUUUGAUAUUAUUUUUAAUCUUAAAAAAUAGUCUGGGCAUGCAAAUUUGAAAUAAGAGUACAUAAAAGAGUUUUUUAAUUGUUGAGAUGUUCUAUUAAAGAAAAAGAAUAGAUAUAAGACGUCAAUAAUGAAUGUUAGAACAAAGAGUCACUUUUUAAGAACAGAAGAAAGAAAAUUUAUCAAAACUAAUUAAUUAUGUUUUGGUUAACUGAAGUGAAUCAAUUAUUGUAUAUUAUGACAUCGAUUCAUGCACUAAUAAAAUUUUCUAAUUUAUUCAUAGUUCAUUCUUAUUCUAAACUUUAUACACUUUUUUAUUCAAUUGAAGUAAAAUCCACAUGACAUAAAUAGAAGCUAUUUUAAAAAAAUUAUUUACUUGACAUAAAUACACCCACCCCCGCACCCCACAUUCCACACCCAAAAAAAAACCACGCACAUUAAGUUUAAAGAAAAGGGAAGAAAAAACUUACUAAGAAAUUACAUGAUUCCAAUUCUUGCCAAAAGUGGUCUCCUAUUUUUAAUCUAAAUCAAAAACCACCUUUUAAUUAUUUUGGUUUAUGAAUUCCUUGAUUUGUCUAUUGCAAAACUUCUAUAAAAGGAAUUGUAAUUUUAAAUUCUUUUCACUAAUUUUUUUCUAGCUUUUUCGAGUUUUAUCUGUAUACAGAGUAACUUUAUUAGAGAAAGUGAACAAGAUAUAAUUGAAUUUUGUUUCAGUGUUUAAGUUACUCCUUAAGUCUUUUGACAUUCCCUUGACAUAUCCUACGUUGAAAUUGAUGUUUGAGCAUUGUCAUUCCAAUAUGCGAUUGAAUUACAUUUCUUUGCAGUAGUUAUGAUGUGUGAUUUGCAACUAUUAUUUCUAUCUUGAAUGUCAGUAUUAUGUGCUCUUUCUAAAAUGACAGAAGAGCGUACAACCACAUCGUGUUAUCAAUCGUAGCAGCCACCCUUAAAAGAAUGCACAAUAGUCCACCGAUUGAGCGCUCUUACGCCGAAGAUGAACGGGGCUAAGUGAUUUGCCUAAGUUGUGGGAUGUAAAAAUACAUCAGUAGGAGAGCAUUCCGCCUUAUAAAGAAGCCUCCGCGCGAGUAGUGGUAGACAAAGCGAAAGCGAGAAUGUUAGCUUGAGUAGCACAAACAUUGGUAAGAAUCCAAUGCCCUGAAAAUCUAAGGGUUCCUCCGCAAAGUUUGUCCAUGAAGGGUGAGUCAGGGCCUAAGAUCAUGCCGAAAUACAUAGUUGAUGAACAACAGGUGAAUAUUCCUGUACUACCCCUUAUUGGUCUUGAGGAUAGGAGAAGGCUAGGUUAGCCGAAAGAUGGUUAUUUGUUCAAGAGUAUAAGGUGUCCCUACCUUUUUUCUAGGGUAAAAAGGGGUAGAGAAAGUGCCUUGAGCCAAUGUUCGAAUACCAGGAGCUAUGACGCAGAAGUAAACCAUGCCAUACUCCCAUGAAAAGGUAGAACAACUUUGGACAAGAGGGUACCUGUACCAAAAAUCGACACAUAUGGACAGGUAAAGAAGACUUAGGGGCGCGAGACAACUCUCUCUAAGGAACUCGGCAAAAUAUCCCCGUAACUUCAGGAGAAGGGGUGCCUCCUCACAAAGAGAGUCGCAGUGACCAGGCUCGGACGACUGUUUACCAAAAACGCAGGUCUCCAUAAAGUCGUAAGACCAUGUAUGGGGGAUGACGCCUUCUUAAUGCCAGAAAUUCAAGGAAUUUGGUGACCUAAUGAUAAGGAAGUCGAUGAUUGAAGCCCCGGUGAACAACAGUCGUAACUAUAAUGAUCCUAAGGUAGAAAAAUUUCUUAUCGGGUAUGUUUUAACCAACAUAAAAGGCGUAACAAUUUGGUCACUCUCUCGAAGAGAGGCUCAGUAAAAUACACAUGCCUAUGAAGAUGUAGACUACCUGCACCUGGACAGAAAGAUUCUAUGAAGCUUUACUAUUUCCAGGAAUUAGCUUUGGGCCUUUCUUGUGCAGCUUGAGUGAAAGGCAAAAAAAGUCCUCCUUCCAAUGUGGGUGGGGGACGAGGCAUCAGUAAGAUACCAUUCUGGAAGAACUAGAAUUCUAACCUUGUGUCAAGACCAACGAGUCAAGGGACAGUCUCAGUAGACAGUUUCUAUAGGCGGUAGGCCUCCCAAAAGGUAACGAAGGAGUACAAAGAUUUCUUUGGACUUGACGGAGAUUUUCCCUCAAGUGCAAAGGCAGAAGGGAGCUUGACUGUAAGACGCACCCGCCAAGAAGGGACAAAAUUUGGCCUCAGUGAUCCAACCGUGCCGAGUGAAAGGAUCGUCACUCAAUGGAUAAAAGUUACUCUAUGGAUAACAUGUUGAUCUUUCCCAAGGGCUCUCAUCGACGAGAAGUUUUACCACCUUGAUGUCGGCUCUUCACAACCUGGGGUUGUAUUAUGUUUUAAGGGUUACGUUGUUCGCCCAUUAAAGCGGUACGUGAGCUGAGUUUAGAACGUCAUGAGACAGAUCGGGUAUGUGAAUCUUUUUACUAAUUUUGUACUCAAUAAUAUCAUGCACACAGUAAUUUAAUUUUU
RNAcentral lists this ribosomal RNA (2718 nucleotides) under Capsicum baccatum. Its description in RNAcentral is "bacterial LSU rRNA". The stretch from base 905 to 2713 matches the Rfam family "Bacterial large subunit ribosomal RNA". The record is from RNAcentral. Lineage: Eukaryota; Viridiplantae; Streptophyta; Magnoliopsida; Solanales; Solanaceae.